UACGUAGGGUGCAAGCGUUGUCCGGAAUUAUUGGGCGUAAAGAGCUCGUAGGCGGUCUGUCGCGUCGGCUGUGAAAACCUGGGGCUUAACUCCGGGCCUGCAGCCGAUACGGGCAGACUAGAGUUCGGCAGGGGAGACUGGAAUUCCUGGUGUAGCGGUGAAAUGCGCAGAUAUCAGGAGGAACACCGGUGGCGAAGGCGGGUCUCUGGGCCGAUACUGACGCUGAGACGCGAAAGCGUGGGGAGCAAACAGG
This 253-nucleotide ribosomal RNA is filed under the name uncultured bacterium. Its description in RNAcentral is "partial 16S ribosomal RNA". It matches the Rfam family "Bacterial small subunit ribosomal RNA", at positions 524 to 776 of the family's 1533-position model. The record is from RNAcentral.